This 1396-nucleotide ribosomal RNA is filed under the name Salmonella enterica subsp. enterica. RNAcentral describes it as "partial 23S ribosomal RNA". It matches the Rfam family "Bacterial large subunit ribosomal RNA", at positions 600 to 1895 of the family's 2925-position model. Lineage: Bacteria; Pseudomonadati; Pseudomonadota; Gammaproteobacteria; Enterobacterales; Enterobacteriaceae. The record is from RNAcentral.
CGUACCUUUUGUAUAAUGGGUCAGCGACUUAUAUUCUGUAGCAAGGUUAACCGAAUAGGGGAGCCGGAGGGAAACCGAGUCUUAAUUGGGCGUUAAGUUGCAGGGUAUAGACCCGAAACCCGGUGAUCUAGCCAUGGGCAGGUUGAAGGUUGGGUAACACUAACUGGAGGACCGAACCGACUAAUGUUGAAAAAUUAGCGGAUGACCUGUGGCUGGGGGUGAAAGGCCAAUCAAACCGGGAGAUAGCUGGUUCUCCCCGAAAGCUAUUUAGGUAGCGCCUCGUGAAUUCAUCUCCGGGGGUAGAGCACUGUUUCGGCUAGGGGGCCAUCCCGGCUUACCAACCCGAUGCAAACUGCGAAUACCGGAGAAUGUUAUCACGGGAGACACACGGCGGGUGCUAACGUCCGUCGUGAAGAGGGAAACAACCCAGACCGCCAGCUAAGGUCCCAAAGUCAUGGUUAAGUGGGAAACGAUGUGGGAAGGCCCAGACAGCCAGGAUGUUGGCUUAGAAGCAGCCAUCAUUUAAAGAAAGCGUAAUAGCUCACUGGUCGAGUCGGCCUGCGCGGAAGAUGUAACGGGGCUAAACCAUGCACCGAAGCUGCGGCAGCGAACGUAUCACCCAAGACAACUUUACGGAGUUGACGAUUGACGGAGCGAAGCGACGUCAAAGCGUUCAUUAAAGUCGAGUUGGCUUAGGGAUACGUUCGUUGGGUAGGGGAGCGUUCUGUAAGCCUGUGAAGGUGUGUCGUGAGGCAUGCUGGAGGUAUCAGAAGUGCGAAUGCUGACAUAAGUAACGAUAAAGCGGGUGAAAAGCCCGCUCGCCGGAAGACCAAGGGUUCCUGUCCAACGUUAAUCGGGGCAGGGUGAGUCGACCCCUAAGGCGAGGCCGAAAGGCGUAGUCGAUGGGAAACGGGUUAAUAUUCCCGUACUUGGUGUUACUGCGAAGGGGGGACGGAGAAGGCUAUGUUGGCCGGGCGACGGUUGUCCCGGUUUAAGCGUGUAGGUGUGUGUUCCAGGUAAAUCCGGUUCACUUUAACACUGAGGCGUGACGACGAGGCACUACGGUGCUGAAGCAACAAAUGCCCUGCUUCCAGGAAAAGCCUCUAAGCAUCAGGUAACACGAAAUCGUACCCCAAACCGACACAGGUGGUCAGGUAGAGAAUACCAAGGCGCUUGAGAGAACUCGGGUGAAGGAACUAGGCAAAAUGGUGCCGUAACUUCGGGAGAAGGCACGCUGACACGUAGGUGAAGUGAUUUACUCAUGGAGCUGAAGUCAGUCGAAGAUACCAGCUGGCUGCAACUGUUUAUUAAAAACACAGCACUGUGCAAACACGAAAGUGGACGUAUACGGUGUGACGCCUGCCCGGUGCCGGAAGGUUAAUUGAUGGGGUCAGCG